CUCCUUACCUCCAGCAGCUCCUCCUGGCCGGGCCCUAAGGGAUUUAUUUGGCUUGGGAUUUGGUAGACAAGACGCCGUUUCACCCUCCAAAAAAUGUCUUAAAAUGACUGCUGGAUGAUGAUGAGAGGAAGAUUGUGGAAGUUUUGCAGCUGCUUCCAAACAUGGCUGCUCAUUGUCAUCACGUUCAGGAUGGGAGCCGCUGCUGCGAGCUCUAACUUCCCAUAAAGCCCAAAUUCAUCUCAGAUUUUCUGUGGAUUUCAACUGCGCACUCAUUGUUCUCGCACUCGGCCUGCAUUCACCGGCUUUCCCCCCCCCCCGUUUAAGCUCCUCUUCAGAUCUAACUCAUCGCCUUUCCUCUCCAUCAUCCUCUCGCCUGCUUUCUCUCAAUCUCCAAACUUUUAUCCCUGCAUCAGGACUUCGUAGGCAGCUCAUCCGUGGCGAUUUAUGAGCCUCCUUCGCUUUUUAAUCAGGUUUUAUAACGCGUAGAUGUUUGUAAUUUCACUCCUCCAGUGGCCGGUAUAGUGGAGGAGAAAGUGGACGCCUUCAGCCUUCAGAGCCCAUUAACUUGUAUCAUUAGCUUGAACUUCAUGAAUACAUUAGCUUUCCUGGCCUGCAAUGCUUUCUCAGUCAAGGUUAGCUCGCACUCAUUUGGGUGAAAUUAAUCAUUUUGAUGUAUGGCUCGGAAAGGGAGCGCUUCCAAGGGACUCCUGUGACUGGAGUAACAAAGCUAACUGCCAUCAACAAUCCUCGGACUUUCAAUUGGACCUCAUUCGCUUACUUUGUGUUGAAGAAUAAUUGCAAACAGUUUACACCUCCAACCAUGAACCAUUUUAAGGAAAAGAUGAGGUUGAAAACAACAUUAAGAAUGCACAAAAUACCACAACUUAUAAAGUUUUAUUGUUAAAAUGUUACCAUAACUACCGUAGCUAACAGUAAAUGCCUGCAGCACACGCCUGCACACAAUGUAGAUGUGUAAUAUCAUUAAUGCCAUCCCUCCUCCCACCUGUUAUUCAUGAUAACCCCACCCUCAAGAUUAACAGUGCUUUUCUUUAAUACACAGUAACAGUAACACCCCACGGUAUACGUUUACGCAACCUCUUUGUGUUGUUUAAAGGUAUCACGUAAAGACAACUGUGUAGUCACCUCGCAAAUGAAAGUGUCUGUCGGUCUGAUUAUGCUUCGAUUGACAUAAUUUUUGAAUGAAGACAAAGUUUUCAGGGUUCUUCCAUGGCAGACACAAAUGCAGUCGUCUUUCACGACAUCGCGUUUUUGUUUUGUGGUGGACUAUCGCCUGUUGUUAGUCAAAACAUAUUGAAAGACAAGUUAUAUGUAGUAUUGUGUUCAUCUUACAUUGAUGAGACAUGACAUGAGAUUACGUUACCGUUACACUGCAUGGAGUCAGCCAUGGCAUGUCCCACAUGAUGGAGUGAAAAGAUUUCCUCCCAUUCUGUGUGGAAGUGGUAAGUUUUUGGCUUCUUACUUGCCCUUCCCCACUCUAUUUGAAACAUUUUCAUAAGUUUAGAAUAAAUAAAUGGGAGGCUAACUUGUUAGCUCAGUAGCAUGUUAUGUUUAAAGCGGUUUAGCAUCUCUUGUGUCCUGCAGUGGUCUCAUUGCCUGCGCAUUACAGUUGAGCAGUGUGUUGUAAACAAACAAUAAUAGGAGUGUAAAGGUGACUAUGGGGUGUUAUUUCAUGUCUACGGGGCUCUAAUGAUGGUACAAAUGAUAUUUCGGAGGUCAUAAACAGGUUUUCUAUGCUCUAACUACAAAAAUAUUCCAUUUAUUAAUAUUGAAUCCUACUAUGCAGAAAUUGAGGAAUCUGGAAUCAAUUAACCACAAUAAAUGCGGGCCGACUGUACAGUGGCACCUGUAAAGCUAGGCAAGUUUUUAAGAAAAAAUACGCCUCUCAAGUCAAACAAAACUCAUGAUGUCACAUGAAACCUCAGCCAACAUAAAAGGAUUAACUCUAGUUCGAAUAUUUCAAUAUUAACAGUGCUUAACUUCUUUUUACACCGGUCUCCUGUGUGUGGACAAGUAGCAUGCAGUUAUUCAAGACUGAAGACGGGAACCCGCUGGUGUUCAAAAGCAAUUUAUCCCGGUGUGAUCCCGUGGAGGCAAACCGGGGCUCCCAAACGGUUCCUCUGGCAGACGUGACAUAUCGAGGUUGGCAGGCCGUGUUCUGCAAAAAGCCUUCUUAGAAAGGCUUUGGCUGACCUCCAGAGCAGAGCCACUUCCAGCAUUAAGCCACUGAGGUCGAGCAUUGUGACAUCUGCGGUUACGCUUCCGAUUCCACCAAUACUUAUCUGCAAUAAGCUACCACAAGACGUCUUCAAAGGAUGGAGACCUCUUGCAGCCUUCUCAUUGGCGUUCCGCUGCCUGAAACACCUCCUCUUAUUGGUCCACUUUGAGGGUCUUUAUUAAAGCAGAGAAAAGAGAUGAGAUAAAAGCUUUCUUGAAUGGAACACAACAACCAGAGACUGGUGGACACAUCGUCUGAAUGACGACACUGCCCUCUAGUGGCAGAAAUCGGGACAACUGAAAAAGCUGUUCUGAAUAACGGUACAGUACUACGUUUUCUGCACUUGAGGGAGACAUACACAUUGACGUCAAAUGAUCCUGUAUCCGAACUUCAAAGCUGCUUCGACUACUACAAGUGGAGGCAUGCCAUCCAUCCAUCCAUCCAUCCAUCCAUCCAUCCAUCUAUCUUCUACCGCUUAUCCAACAGCCUCAGCAGGGAAAUCCAGACUUCCCUCUCGUUUGUCCAGCUACUCCCGGCAUACCCGAGGCGUUCCCAGGCCAGUUGAGAGACAUAGCCUCUCCAAUGUGUCCUGGGUCUUCCCCGAGGCCUUCUACCGGCCGGACAUGGCCUGAACACCUCCCCCGGGGAUCCAGAGUUGUUGUUGGGACCAGCCGGCGAUCUCUUACGGCUCUCCCCCUCCUCCCGCUGUCUGUGAGCGCAUGCUGUCACCGGCAGGCUCGUGCAGUAGACUGUGGCGUCUGAAUGCUGCAUACAGAGGCCCUCCUGAACAGAACAUGGGAUCCAUAUACUGGCAGGAUGAGG
Long non-coding RNA from Dunckerocampus dactyliophorus (ringed pipefish), 3058 nucleotides. RefSeq lists it as uncharacterized. The record is from RefSeq and is a predicted model, not a curated record. Lineage: Eukaryota; Metazoa; Chordata; Actinopteri; Syngnathiformes; Syngnathidae. The transcript is spliced from 9 exons.